GGCGUGGAUGUUCCACCGCAAGACCGGCUUUAGCACGGCCUAUGUCGGCAGUUCGAAUCUGUCGCACGCCGCCA
Molecule: transfer RNA, 74 nt
Filed under: Kocuria rosea
Lineage: Bacteria; Bacillati; Actinomycetota; Actinomycetes; Micrococcales; Micrococcaceae
Also listed under: 1 other name
Description: tRNA-Ala
Source: RNAcentral